UUAAAAUUAAAAUAUAAACUAUUCAUUGUGAUUUCUUUCAAGACCUAACUGGUGAACAAUAUGUUGCCGUUGUCGUAAAAUAAUGUUAAUUUAUGCGACGUUGCCAAUGGUAAGAGAACAAACACUUCCAAGCAAGUCGAAAGUGGACAGUGCCUGCUUUCCGCGUUGCCAUAGAGCCGGUUUCCAUGGUUACAAGUGCACAAUCGAGAUGUCUGCCUUUAUGAAAUGGAGCUGUGAGGACGUCUCUAAAUGGAUUGAAUCUUUAGGAUAUCAACAGUAUACGGCAUGUUUCACAGAAAACUAUAUCAAUGGUAGAAAAUUAAUCUUGGUAAAUUGCUCCACACUCCCCAGACUUGGAAUCACUGACUUCAAAGAUAUGAAGGCAAUUUCUGGUCACGUUCGUGAGCUCCUUGAAAUUAAGGACCCCCAUUGGAUCCGAAGUAUUGCAUUGCCCCCUGUGGAACCAAGGCGGUUAUUUUUAGAGGAAAAGAGUCGAACAGGAUCGACAGCUGAUUCUCUUACUUAUAUUCAGUUUUUGAAAGAAAGGGGCUUAGAUGAAUACACGUAAAAUACAUGCUGUAAUGUUCUUCAUCUAAACUGCUUGUCCUUUUAGUAAUUAUGCCUUGUGGUGUUUGUUUGUUUGUUUGUUUUUUAAUUUGCACAAGUGUGUAUACAAUAAUGGUUUCAAAUGAUACCAUUAUAUCAUCUUGAUAUAUCAUCUUUACUUUUAUAA
Molecule: long non-coding RNA, 733 nt
Organism: Polyodon spathula (Mississippi paddlefish)
Lineage: Eukaryota; Metazoa; Chordata; Actinopteri; Acipenseriformes; Polyodontidae
Exons: 3
Source: RefSeq, a predicted model, not a curated record